CGGGGGGCAAGCGUUGUUCGGAAUUACUGGGCGUAAAGGGCUCGUAGGCGGCCAACUAAGUCAAACGUGAAAUCCCUCGGCUUAACCGGGGAACUGCGCUUGAUACUGGAUGGCUUGAGAUUGGGAGAGGGAUGCGGAAUUCCAGGUGUAGCGGUGAAAUGCGUAGAUAUCUGGAGGAACACCGGUGGCGAAGGCGGCAUCCUGGACCAACACUGACGCUGAGUGAGCGAAAGCCAGGGGAGCAAACGGGAUUAGAUACCCCGGUAGUCCUGGCCCUAAACGAUGAAUGCUUGGUGUGGCGGGUAUCGAUCCCUGCCGUGCCGAAGCUAACGCAUUAAGCAUUCCGCCUGGGGAGUACGGUCGCAAGGCUG
RNAcentral lists this ribosomal RNA (371 nucleotides) under uncultured organism. Its description in RNAcentral is "bacterial SSU rRNA". It matches the Rfam family "Bacterial small subunit ribosomal RNA", at positions 528 to 896 of the family's 1533-position model. The record is from RNAcentral.